RNAcentral lists this long non-coding RNA (336 nucleotides) under Monodelphis domestica (gray short-tailed opossum). RNAcentral's name for it is "lncRNA (ENSMODG00000038547.1)". The record is from RNAcentral. Lineage: Eukaryota; Metazoa; Chordata; Mammalia; Didelphimorphia; Didelphidae.
AUGAUUUUACCAGGUGCACAACCCUUCUAACCUUCAUUUCCCUCAUUUGUCAAAAGGGAACAAGUAAGUCCUGCUCUCUCCACCUCAAAGGGGUUGUGAGAAUCCAGUGACAGAAUAUGGAGAAAAGGCCCUUUGUGAUGAGAAAGUAACAAGUAAAGCUACUAUAAAAUGGGAAUAAUGGUAUUUGAACUCCACAUCUUAGGUCCCCUGGAUUCCUAGGAGAUUUAGGAGGCCUUGGCUGGUCCCACCAGCUGCUAGCAUCUUCCCUUUUGAGAAUGCUUUCCAUUUAUUCUGAAUCUAAGACCUGGACACACUGCACAGCAGGAUGGAAAUUCC